This 337-nucleotide unclassified non-coding RNA is filed under the name soil metagenome. RNAcentral describes it as "partial contains 5.8S ribosomal RNA, internal transcribed spacer 2, and large subunit ribosomal RNA". The stretch from base 1 to 120 matches the Rfam family "5.8S ribosomal RNA", at positions 35 to 154 of the family's 154-position model. The record is from RNAcentral.
GAUGAAGAACGCAGCGAAAUGCGAUAAGUAGUGUGAAUUGGAGAAUUCAGUGAAUCAUCGAAUCUUUGAACGCACAUUGCGCCCCUUGGUAUUCCAUGGGGCAUGCCUGUUCGAGCGUCAUUUGUACCUUCAAGCUCUGCUUGGUGUUGGGUGUUUGUCUCGCCUCUGCGUGUAGACUCGCCUCAAAACAAUUGGCAGCCGGCGUAUUGAUUUCGGAGCGCAGUACAUCUCGCGCUUUGCACUCAUAACGACGACGUCCAAAAGUACAUUUUUACACUCUUGACCUCGGAUCAGGUAGGGAUACCCGCUGAACUUAAGCAUAUCAAUAAGCGGAGGA